Molecule: ribosomal RNA, 254 nt
Filed under: uncultured bacterium
Lineage: Bacteria
Description: partial 16S ribosomal RNA
Rfam family: Bacterial small subunit ribosomal RNA
Source: RNAcentral
UACGUAGGGUGCGAGCGUUGUCCGGAAUUAUUGGGCGUAAAGAGCUCGUAGGCGGUGUGUCACGUCGUUCGUGAAAACCUGCAGCUUAACUGUGGGCGUGCGGUCGAUACGGGCAUCACUGGAGUUCGGCAGGGGAGACUGGAACUCCUGGUGUAGCGGUGAAAUGCGCAGAUAUCAGGAGGAACACCGGUGGCGAAGGCGGGUCUCUGGGCCGAUACUGACGCUGAGGAGCGAAAGCGUGGGGAGCGAACAGG